Molecule: ribosomal RNA, 358 nt
Filed under: uncultured bacterium
Lineage: Bacteria
Description: bacterial SSU rRNA
Rfam family: Bacterial small subunit ribosomal RNA
Source: RNAcentral
AACGAACGCUGGCGGCAUGCCUAACACAUGCAAGUCGAACGAGACCUUCGGGUCUAGUGGCGCACGGGUGCGUAACGCGUGGGAAUCUGCCCUCUGGUACGGAAUAACUCAGGGAAACUUGAGCUAAUACCGUAUAAUGACUUCGGUCCAAAGAUUUAUCGCCUGAGGAUGAGCCCGCGUAGGAUUAGCUAGUUGGUGAGGUAAAAGCUCACCAAGGCGACGAUCCUUAGCGGUCUGAGAGGAUGAUCAGCCACACUGGGACUGAGACACGGCCCAGACUCCUACGGGAGGCAGCAGUGGGGAAUAUUGGACAAUGGGGGAAACCCGUCAUCCAGCAAUGCCGCGUGAGUGAUGAAGG